Molecule: microRNA precursor, 56 nt
Organism: Salmo trutta (river trout)
Lineage: Eukaryota; Metazoa; Chordata; Actinopteri; Salmoniformes; Salmonidae
Source: Ensembl
AGCUAGAAACCUUGCCUGAGAUGUGCUGAUGAAUUUCAGUCAUUGUUUCUGGUAGU